Molecule: non-coding RNA, 342 nt
Organism: Hypanus sabinus (Atlantic stingray)
Lineage: Eukaryota; Metazoa; Chordata; Chondrichthyes; Myliobatiformes; Dasyatidae
Source: the annotation of a RefSeq genome assembly
AUGCCACCCCCGUCUCUUUUUCGAGACGCGACCUCGGUGACAAUCCUCCAGACAUCGGAUUUUUCCGCACUUCCUGGCCAGAAGGUGGCGCUUCGGUGCACAGUCGAGGGUAGUAGCAGUGCUGGUGACGUGUUGUACUGGUACCGACAAUACCCGGGAAAGGGUCCGGAGAACAUGUUUUACUCAACGACAGCUACGUACGUCCAGCCAGAGGGAUUGGUCGACGGUUUUACGGCGGAGAGAUCGCAGAGCAACGAGUGCUUCCUGAAGUCCGACAAACUGGAAGCGAAUUCUUCGGCCGUGUAUUUCUGCGCCUGGAGUGAUCACGGCGGCUCAGAGUGA